RNAcentral lists this ribosomal RNA (465 nucleotides) under Vreelandella stevensii. RNAcentral describes it as "partial 16S ribosomal RNA". It matches the Rfam family "Bacterial small subunit ribosomal RNA", at positions 338 to 795 of the family's 1533-position model. The record is from RNAcentral. Lineage: Bacteria; Pseudomonadati; Pseudomonadota; Gammaproteobacteria; Oceanospirillales; Halomonadaceae.
CCUACGGGCGGCUGCAGUGGGGAAUAUUGGACAAUGGGCGGAAGCCUGAUCCAGCCAUGCCGCGUGUGUGAAGAAGGCCUUCGGGUUGUAAAGCACUUUCAGUGGGGAAGAAAGCCUUGGGGCUAAUACCCUCGAGGAAGGACAUCACCCACAGAAGAAGCACCGGCUAACUCCGUGCCAGCAGCCGCGGUAAUACGGAGGGUGCGAGCGUUAAUCGGAAUUACUGGGCGUAAAGCGCGCGUAGGCGGUCUGAUAAGCCGGUUGUGAAAGCCCCGGGCUCAACCUGGGAACGGCAUCCGGAACUGUCAGGCUAGAGUGCAGGAGAGGAAGGUAGAAUUCCCGGUGUAGCGGUGAAAUGCGUAGAGAUCGGGAGGAAUACCAGUGGCGAAGGCGGCCUUCUGGACUGACACUGACGCUGAGGUGCGAAAGCGUGGGUAGCAAACAGGAUUAGAUACCCGAGUAGUC